GGGGAACUCAACAAGAGCCUGCCUGAAAAGUGGCUUGUGGAGCGAGUCUGCGUCCACUUGCAGAUUGGUGACCUGCGCAAAGCCUACACUUCCUGCUGAUGGUUACGUUACAGCCUAUAGUUUUGACGUGAGGGCGGACGUGAUCUACCACUGCAAUGAAGGAUACCGGCUGGAAACAGGUCACGAUGGCUCGCCACAACCUUCCAGUGGGCAUGGGAGGACGAGAUCUGUGAAAAGGACGUGUCAAAUCGCAGGACUUUAGUCAGGGAAUGUGCCCUCGUGUCUUUACACAGAUUGCGGCCACGUUCCUGAACCCUUAAGGGUAGUCGUGACUAUCUAAAUGGUACCACCUAUUUGGAUAGUCAAGUGAACUAUUCCUGUACUACUAACUAUCAGAUAGUCGGCCAGCCAGAUCAGAGUGUGCCAGG
Scylla paramamosain (green mud crab) is the source of this 428-nucleotide long non-coding RNA. RefSeq lists it as uncharacterized. Lineage: Eukaryota; Metazoa; Arthropoda; Malacostraca; Decapoda; Portunidae. The record is from RefSeq and is a predicted model, not a curated record. The transcript is spliced from 4 exons.